Molecule: ribosomal RNA, 496 nt
Filed under: uncultured bacterium
Lineage: Bacteria
Description: bacterial SSU rRNA
Rfam family: Bacterial small subunit ribosomal RNA
Source: RNAcentral
GAUCCUGGCUUAGGACGAACGCUGGCGGCGUGCUUAAUACAUGCAAGUCGAACGAAGCCUAGUCUUUAGUUUACUAUAGACGAAAGCUUAGUGGCGGACGGGUGAGUAACGCGUGGAGAAUCUGCCCUCAAGACCGGGAUAACAGAGCGAAAGUUCUGCUAAAACCGGAUAUGCUCUGAGAGCCGCAUGGUUUAAAGAGGAAAACGUUAGUGCUUGAGGAUGGCUCCGCGUCCCAUUAGCUAGUUGGUAAGGUAACGGCUUACCAAGGCGACGAUGGGUAGCCGGCCUGAGAGGGUGACCGGCCACACUGGGACUGAGACACGGCCCAGACUCCUACGGGAGGCAGCAGUAGGGAAUUUUCCGCAAUUGGGCGAAAGCCUGACGGAGCAACGCCGCGUGAAGGAUGAAGGCCUUCGGGUCGUAAACUUUUGUCUUUGGGGACGAUAAUGACGGUACCCAAGGAGGAAGCCCCGGCUAACUACGUGCCAGCAGCUGC